Molecule: long non-coding RNA, 686 nt
Organism: Mercenaria mercenaria
Lineage: Eukaryota; Metazoa; Mollusca; Bivalvia; Venerida; Veneridae
Exons: 3
Source: RefSeq, a predicted model, not a curated record
UGCGGUCUUUGUUAAGUAAAUAAGACAGAAUUUGUUUUAAUUUAGAAAGAUGUCCUAAUUAACUAAAUUAUUCAACACCUUUUUGUCGCGAUUUAAAAAUUCUAGCGUUCAAAAAAUAUAUCAUACGUUAAUGAUACACGGAGAGUAGCGUAGGUUUUCUGCAGAACUGCAACAAUUACUUUUGAUAGGUAGAAAGUGACGUAUAAAUAUGACGGUGAUACUUUUCCUUAUGGUAGCGAUCCUUCCAUUUGCUCUAGUGGACGGUUUGCCAGGUUGCUGGGCUGGUCCAACUCCACCGGGGAGGGUGUGCAUAGAUAAGAAGAUAUUAAAUGGACAACAAUCGCUCGAUGUAAGGUAUAAAAUCCUCUCUAAUUAUACAGAUGUUUGCUGUGAUGCGCUGGCAUGUACAGACUUUCGUGGCUGCCAUUUGAAGGAUAUUGGAUGUGGUCACGGCACAAUGACGUCUCAACGUCUACCCUGGGAAUUAAAAGAAAUAAACCCUCUUGUAAGAUGUUAUUCCACCGACGCAACAAAUCCUGAUUUUUACGACUUUUCAGUAAUAAUCGCCUAGACCAACACAACUAUCAAAUAUAGGAAUAAAAUGCAUUAUGCAAUAUUUUUGAUAUGAUUAAAAUAAGUUGCCUUUUAGCUUGACCGUUUAUGUGACAAAAUAAAAAUUAAAUUUG